UACGGAGGGAGCUAGCGUUGUCCGGAAUCAUUGGGCGUAAAGCGCGCGUAGGUGGCCCCGUAAGUCCGCUGUGAAAGUCAAAGGCUCAACCUUUGAAAGCCGGUGGAUACUGUGGGACUAGAGUACGGAAGAGGCGAGUGGAAUUCCUGGUGUAGCGGUGGAAUGCGUAGAUAUUGGAAAGACCACCAAUGGCGAAGGCACUCUACUGGGCCAUUACUGACACUGAGAGACGAAAGCUAGGGGAGCAAAUGGG
RNAcentral lists this ribosomal RNA (253 nucleotides) under uncultured bacterium. RNAcentral's name for it is "partial 16S ribosomal RNA". It matches the Rfam family "Bacterial small subunit ribosomal RNA", at positions 524 to 776 of the family's 1533-position model. The record is from RNAcentral.